UACGUAGGGUGCAAGCGUUGUUCGGAAUUAUUGGGCGUAAAGCGCGUGUAGGCGGCUUUGCAAGUCGGGUGUGAAAGCCCUCAGCUCAACUGAGGAAGUGCGCCCGAAACUGCAGAGCUUGAGUACCGGAGAGGAUGGCGGAAUUCCCCAAGUAGAGGUGAAAUUCGUAGAUAUGGGGAGGAACACCGGUGGCGAAGGCGGCCAUCUGGACGGAUACUGACGCUGAGACGCGAAAGCGUGGGUAGCAAACAGG
RNAcentral lists this ribosomal RNA (253 nucleotides) under uncultured bacterium. RNAcentral describes it as "partial 16S ribosomal RNA". It matches the Rfam family "Bacterial small subunit ribosomal RNA", at positions 524 to 776 of the family's 1533-position model. The record is from RNAcentral.